Molecule: transfer RNA, 108 nt
Filed under: Xylona heveae TC161
Lineage: Eukaryota; Fungi; Ascomycota; Xylonomycetes; Xylonales; Xylonaceae
Rfam family: tRNA
About the family: Transfer RNA (tRNA) molecules are approximately 80 nucleotides in length. Their secondary structure includes four short double-helical elements and three loops (D, anti-codon, and T loops).
Source: Rfam by way of RNAcentral
GGUCGGUUAGCUCAGUUGGUUAGAGCGUGGUGCUAAUACCUUGUUGGCUCCUUACUCAGUAAGGCAAAGUUAACGCCAAGGUCGCGGGUUCGACCCCCGUACUGACCA